UUGCUAGCCGCUGACGAUCGGCGAGACUGGUGAGUAACGCAUAGGAAUUUACCCGGAUAGUGGGGGAUAACCUGGGGAAACCCAAGGUAAUACCGCAGACGUCCUACGGGAGAAAGGGGGCUUUGGCUCCCGCUAUCGGAUGAGCCUAUGCCGGAUUAGCUGGUUGGUGAGGUAAUGGCUCACCAAGGGGACGAUCCGUAACUGGUCUGAGAGGAUGAUCAGCCACAUCGGGACUGAGACACGGGCCCGAACUCCUACGGGAGGCAACAAUGGGGAAUAUUGGGCAAUUGGGCGCAAGCCUGAUCCAGCCAUGCCGCGUGUUGUGAAGAAAGGCCUCGGGUUGUAAAGCACUUUCAGCGAGGAAGAACGCCUGGCGGUUAAUACCCGCCAGGAAAGACAUCAACUCGCAGAAGAAGCACCGGGCUAACUCCGUGCCAGCAACCGCGGUAAUACGGAAGGUGCAAAGCGUUAAUCCGGAAUUACUUGGGCGUUAAGCGCGCGUUAGUGGCUUGAAUAAACCCGGUUGUUAAAAGCCCCCGGGCUCAAACCUGGGAACGGGAAUCCCGGAAC
RNAcentral lists this ribosomal RNA (570 nucleotides) under bacterium 'A327-UMH 31% pond'. Its description in RNAcentral is "bacterial SSU rRNA". It matches the Rfam family "Bacterial small subunit ribosomal RNA", at positions 78 to 633 of the family's 1533-position model. The record is from RNAcentral.